UACGAAGGGUGCAAGCGUUACUCGGAAUUACUGGGCGUAAAGGGUGCGUAGGUGGUUCUUUAAGUCUGCUGUGAAAGCCCCGGGCUCAACCUGGGAAUGGCAGUGGAUACUGGAGAGCUAGAGUGCGGUAGAGGGUAGUGGAAUUCCCGGUGUAGCAGUGAAAUGCGUAGAGAUCGGAAAGAACACCAACGGCGAAAGCACUCUGCUGGGCCGACACUGACACUGAGAGACGAAAGCUAGGGGAGCAAAUGGG
This 253-nucleotide ribosomal RNA is filed under the name uncultured bacterium. Its description in RNAcentral is "partial 16S ribosomal RNA". It matches the Rfam family "Bacterial small subunit ribosomal RNA", at positions 524 to 776 of the family's 1533-position model. The record is from RNAcentral.